UGUGAAGCGGGAUACAACCGGGCCAACUCUCACAUACAAGUUCUCCUGGCUCGCACUGCAGCAAUGCUGGUGAAAGGAUGAUGAAACAUGAGAAGGACUGACUGAAGAGAAAGAGCACAGAUGAACCUUGAACCCAGGACAGCUGCGUUGAAGAACGAAGCCUCCAUAUAUGGGUCGUGCACUCCACCACCACGCGCCCCCAUUGCAGCGGUAUUUUAAAGCACAACUGAGGUUCCGUUCCUUUAUCAAAAUUCAAGAACACAGGUAAACAAGACAGUCAGAGAGUGCAAACCUCUGCCAUCUAUGUAGGAUCACUAACGCCAUAGAUUACUUCUUGGCAAAGUCAUCUACUCCAAUUGAAUCCGGAAUUAUGCUGUAAUCAUGAAGAAGAUCAUGAAGAACAUGGACUUGACUUGGCAUAAUCAUGGAAAGGCUUGGCAUAAACAGAGUAAAACAAACCGGCCAUAGGUGAACAGAAACAGAGGUGUAUAUAUGGGGCAUGGCACAGGUGAAGCAAGGAGACUGAUUGGCAUGGUGCAGGUGGACCAAAGGAAGCUGAUUACAGAAUGACUGUGGCAAGGAAUGGAAACAAGAACAAGAAUGGGCAGAACAGAGAAGCAAUAAAAUAAUCUAACCAAAGAAAUAUCUUACAGAGCAUAAAUCAAAUUGCACUAAUAAAAAAAUAAUACAAAACAAAGCCUAAGGAGAGAAGUAAAGCACCACCUGGAAAUCAAUGAUCAGAAGCAAGACAAAACACUUGAAGAACUCAAACACUCUUAAAUCCUGAUAUAUAGGAAAGAACACAUGAUUACGUUUUACCAAAUUUGUAUCAAGCCUUUUUGCUUUUUUGUGGAGUUAGAUGCAAAAAUGUUAAAAAUGACCUUUUCCCAAAGGGGUGAAGAAUCCUUUAAAAAAAUCCUGGAUCCAGAUCUUGAUCUGGAUCACCACCAAAUUUUGUUGGAUCCUUCUUUGGGCUAAGACACACCUCUGAUAAAAAAUGAAUAAGAAUUCAUCUGUAACUUUUUGCAUAAAAUUGCUAACACACAGACAGACAUAGGUAACCACCUCAUAACUGCUCUAUGCUGAUGUAAUGAAGAUCAAAGAGACGUUUUAAAUAUUUAGGAUUUAUAUACUGAAAACCUGACAACAGUGACUUUUCUAGAAAGUACAGUGUUUGUUGGAACUACUUCUUCAGAUGAAGUACUUUCAUAGAAAAUAAACUAAUGCUAACUAAUAAGGUUUUUGGAUCAUCCACAAAUAAAUUAAUCUUGUUUUUUAAUAUUUAGCAUGAUCAAAAAGAUAUUUGGGGGGGCUUUACUGAAGUUCCAACAUGUGUUAUAAUAGGUGCAUUAUUACAAAAUACCCUUAAGAACUGCAAUGUAAGUUCC
Girardinichthys multiradiatus is the source of this 1388-nucleotide long non-coding RNA. RefSeq lists it as uncharacterized. Lineage: Eukaryota; Metazoa; Chordata; Actinopteri; Cyprinodontiformes; Goodeidae. The transcript is spliced from 4 exons. The record is from RefSeq and is a predicted model, not a curated record.